GACGAACGCUGGCGGCGUGCCUAAUACAUGCAAGUAGAACGCUGAAGGAGGAGCUUGCUUCUCCGGAUGAGUUGCGAACGGGUGAGUAACGCGUAGGUAACCUGCCUCGUAGCGGGGGAUAACUAUUGGAAACGAUAGCUAAUACCGCAUAAGAGUAGAUGUCGCAUGACAUUUGCUUAAAAGGUGCAACUGCACCACUACCAGAUGGACCUGCGUUGUAUUAGCUAGUUGGUGAGGUAACGGCUCACCAAGGCAACGAUACAUAGCCGACCUGAGAGGGUGAUCGGCCACGCUGGGACUGAGACACGGCCCAGACUCCUACGGGAGGCAGCAGUAGGGAAUCUUCGGCAAUGGACGGAAGUCUGACCGAGCAACGCCGCGUGAGUGAAGAAGGUUUUCGGAUCGUAAAGCUCUGUUGUAAGAGAAGAACGAGUGUGAGAGUGGAAAGUUCACACUGUGACGGUAUCUUACCAGAAAGGGACGGCUAACUACGUG
This 495-nucleotide ribosomal RNA is filed under the name uncultured bacterium. RNAcentral describes it as "partial 16S ribosomal RNA". It matches the Rfam family "Bacterial small subunit ribosomal RNA", at positions 28 to 507 of the family's 1533-position model. The record is from RNAcentral.